Molecule: unclassified non-coding RNA, 262 nt
Filed under: Glomeraceae sp.
Lineage: Eukaryota; Fungi; Glomeromycota; Glomeromycetes; Glomerales; Glomeraceae
Description: partial contains 5.8S ribosomal RNA and internal transcribed spacer 2
Rfam family: 5.8S ribosomal RNA (bases 1-71)
Source: RNAcentral
GUGAAUCAUCAAAUCUUUGAACGCAAAUUGCGCUUCCUGGCAUCCCGGGGAGUAUGCCUGUUUGAGGGUCAUUAUUAACAAAAAAUCGGUUGGUUUGCAAAUUGUGACGUUUCCGGCGUUUGGACUUUAUUAACUUUGUUGGUUAAGGAGCUUAAAAUGUACAUUUGUUGCGCAUUUUUAGACGUACUGAAAUUGUUUUUUUAUUCGUCUAUUCUUAAUGCCAAAAGCUUAUUAGAUUCUAGUACAUCGUGUGGUUUCGUGU